Molecule: ribosomal RNA, 393 nt
Filed under: uncultured eukaryote
Lineage: Eukaryota
Description: SSU rRNA
Rfam family: Eukaryotic small subunit ribosomal RNA
Source: RNAcentral
AGCUCCAAUAGCGUAUAUUAAAGUUGUUGCGGUUAAAAAGCUCGUAGUUGGUUUUCUGUCGAGAGCUGCCGGUCCGUACUUUGUACGAGUAUCUGGUUCAGCCUCGGCAUCCUCUUGGGGGGCGUGUCUGUAAUUUAUUUUAUGGAGCGUUACCCAAGACUUUUACUUUGAGGAAAUUAGAGUGUUUACGGCAAGCUUGCGCUUGAAUAUAUUAGCAUGGGAUAAUUAUACAGGAUCUUACUCCUAUUUUAUUGGUUCCUAGGAGGAAGAUAAUGAUAAAUAGGGAUAACUGGGGGCACUCGAAUUAACGCGUCAGAGGUGGAAUUCUUGGAUUGCGUUACGACGACCUACUGCGAAAGCAUUUGCCAAGGAUGUUUUCAUUGAUCAAGAACG